CAACAUGAACAAUAAUUGUUUUAUUUUCUGCAUCGCGAGAACGAGCCGACGAUAUGGACGGGAAGGGGGUCGUAAUGCCGUAUUUAUCUUCACAUCUUCGAACAAAACCGCACUACCUAAGCCACAAUACUGAAAAUGGCUAAUGUUCUCCAACAGUGUCGUCACUCAUCAUUGUUGAGUAUGGAGUAUGGAAAGAGAGAUACUUGAACAUGUUGGAAUGUCACCUUGAGGACCAAGAUAUGGGGAGAAUAAUGCUUGAAUGGUGCACAGAUGAGUCUUUUCAACUCUGGUAUGCUUCUCCAAGAAAACGGCCAUGCACAUCACCAGAAUGCUAGAACAGGAUCAGGGAGUGAAUAUCUGAGGAAGGGUUCUUUUCCAGUACUUUGAUACAAUUGUCUUCACUUCAUUUGUUUGCUGUUGGUAUCCGUUGCUCUUCUUUUUUGAUGAAUUCCUGCCUGCAUUCUCUCGUCAAUCAAUCAAGAUAGCGUGCUAUUUCGCAUUCCAUUGGCCAUGUCAUAAUCUACGCAUGAACAUGGACACUGAGUUAAAACUGGUAGCUUGCUCAAUCCCGUACAUCUCUUGACUGUCACCAGCUAUCUAUUCCUAGAGGUUUUAAAGCUACUGUACCACAGCCAAUUUGGACAGCACCAUCUCAAGACAUAAACUCCUGUACCUUGUAACACCAGGAUGUAAUAAAUUGACAGGUUUAUUACUUAUUUGCAAAGAAAAUAAUAUUUUCUUAGUUGUUGGGGUGUUUCCACGCAUUCCUGUAUUUCAAUAGUGAUCUAAUGACCAUCUUGCUUUUAAAACCCAAAUUCACAAUAUUUUUCUUGUUUGAUAAAAGGUUAGGUACUUCUGGGUGGAUAUAAAUGACACACAUGUUGGGUUAAUAAGCAACAGUUGUAUCAUACUUAACUCAGUUUUGCCAAGAGAUGGACUGACUUUAGGUCAUUCUUAUUAUUCAAGUCUAUUGUCUCACUUAUCUUUUUUUUAAUUAAGAAUCAAUGCUUAACCCUAAAAUUUUCUGCGAUCAUUCCGCCGCGCGAAAUUUUUUGACCGCGCCACCGGCAGAGUUUAUACUUUUAAGUCUCGCGCAUCUUUUGAGACCAAAUUUACGACGCCCGGGUAUGCGGUUUCGAAAUUACGCAACAUUUUGUAAGUGCAUGUCAGACCAAAAAUUGUUCCAAAACGUGAUUUUGUGUACAAAGUCAAUGCAAAUUGAGUUUUCUCAUCUUAUUCAUAAAGAUAUGAUUAUUUUUACUUUAA
Molecule: long non-coding RNA, 1266 nt
Organism: Lytechinus pictus (painted urchin)
Lineage: Eukaryota; Metazoa; Echinodermata; Echinoidea; Temnopleuroida; Toxopneustidae
Exons: 4
Source: RefSeq, a predicted model, not a curated record